This 1471-nucleotide unclassified non-coding RNA is filed under the name uncultured fungus. RNAcentral describes it as "sequence contains 18S rRNA gene, ITS1, 5.8S rRNA gene, ITS2, 28S rRNA gene". The stretch from base 436 to 1471 matches the Rfam family "Eukaryotic large subunit ribosomal RNA", at positions 1 to 961 of the family's 3401-position model. Lineage: Eukaryota; Fungi. The record is from RNAcentral.
GGAAGGAUCAUUAACACAAAAUCCUAACACCUUGUGUGAACUCGUAACCGUCUUUUUACAUUGAACGAAACAACAGAGAUGCAUUGGCAGGCGAGCAAUCGGCUGGCUGGUGCAUUACCUAAUCAGAACAACUGCUAGCAACGGAUGUCUUGGUUCUCGCAACGAUGAAGAACGCAGCGAAUUGCGAUAAGUAAUGGGAAUCGUAAGAUCCAGUGACUCAUCAAAUCUUUGAACGCAAACGGCGCUCUCUGGUACUCCGGAGAGCAUACCUGUUUGAGCAUCAACAUAGACCUCACACUCCUUAUUUGGAAUGUGGUGAAUGAGCGUCAUGCUAACCGCAUGUUGCUUGAAGUUGAUGGCUGGAGGCAGCCAACCAACGGUGGGGUUUCGGCCUGAGCGUUGGAUAGGCAGUUUCUGAACAGCUUUGAUCAAACUUGAUCUCAAAUCAGGUAAGACUACCCGCUGAAUUGAAGCAUCUCAUUAAGCGGAGGAAAAGAAACUAACAAGGAUUCCCCUAGUAACGGCGAGUGAAGAGGGAAGAGCUCAAACUUAAAAUCUGGGAGGUCUCCUCCCCGAAUUGUAGUCUAGAGAAGCGCAACCGGUGCUUGUCCUUCGUCCAAGUCCUCUGGAAGGGGGCAUCAGAGAGGGUGACAAUCCCGUAUCUGGCGAGGGAACAGGUGCCAUACGGUGCGUUCUCGACGAGUCGAGUUGUUUGGGAAUGCAGCUCUAAAUGGGUGGUAAAUUCCAUCUAAAGCUAAAUAUUGGCGAGAGACCGAUAGCGAACAAGUACCGUGAGGGAAAGAUGAAAAGAACUUUGAAAAGAGAGUUAAAAGUGCCUGAAAUUGCUAGCAUGGAAGCGAUUGAAACUGGUUACCUGCUGGGGAGAUUGGGUGGUGACUUCCGUUCUGCGGAUUUGCUGCUCACCUCUUCUCGGCAGAAGUCAACUCCGGUUACUGGUGCAGUGAGCGGCUGUAGGGAAGGUAGGCUCAGGCUUUCGGGCAUGAGUUGUUAUAGCUCUAUGGCUGUGCUGUCUCGGGGACUAGGAUUGGGUGCUGUAGCGUCGGGGCUUACUAGCGGUGGCAUUCGUGCUGCUGUUACGGGUUUCGGGGCUGCGGUGCUCUUGUUGACGCAACGGUUUUAACCGUCCCGUCUUGAAACACGGACCAAGGAGUCUAACAUAUAUGCGAGUAUUGUGGUGGCAAACCACAUUGCGCAAUGAAAGUGAAGGCCUGUUCUGCAGGCUGAGGUGUGAGCCCGCAAGGGUGCAACAUCGACCGAUCUGGAGGUUUUCUGAAAGAUUUGAGUAAGAGCAUAUACGUUGGGACCCGAAAGAUGGUGAACUAUGCCUGGGUAGGAUGAAGCCAGAGGAAACUCUGGUGGAGGUCCGAAGCGGUUUUGACGUGCAAAUCAAUCGUCGAAUCUGGGUAUAGGGGCGAAAGACUAAUCGAACCAUCUGGUAGCUGGUUCCCUC